GGUAUUUAAAAGGUAGAUUUUCCUUUUAUGGUUACGUUUUGAUGGUUAAUCAUAGAGGAAAAUCCACGUUUUCAGUACC
Molecule: microRNA precursor, 79 nt
Filed under: Echinops telfairi (small Madagascar hedgehog)
Lineage: Eukaryota; Metazoa; Chordata; Mammalia; Afrosoricida; Tenrecidae
Source: RNAcentral